This 82-nucleotide small RNA is filed under the name Arabidopsis thaliana (thale cress). RNAcentral's name for it is "ATSL250190". The record is from RNAcentral. Lineage: Eukaryota; Viridiplantae; Streptophyta; Magnoliopsida; Brassicales; Brassicaceae.
UGUUAGGAUUGUACAAGAAAGGACUACGGCGUGAAGCAGAUGCGCUGUUUAGAAAAAUGAAAGAAGAUGGGAUUUUGCCAAA